Molecule: ribosomal RNA, 916 nt
Filed under: Pseudosperma aurora
Lineage: Eukaryota; Fungi; Basidiomycota; Agaricomycetes; Agaricales; Inocybaceae
Description: partial 25S large subunit ribosomal RNA
Rfam family: Eukaryotic large subunit ribosomal RNA
Source: RNAcentral
UUAAGCAUAUCAAUAAGCGGAGGAAAAGAAACUAACAAGGAUUCCCUUAGUAACUGCGAGUGAAGAGGGAAAAGCUCAAAUUUAAAAUCUGGCAGUCGUUGGCUGUCCGAGUUGUAAUCUAGAGAAGUGUUACCCGUGCUGGACCAUGUACAAGUCUCCUGGAAUGGAGCAUCGCAGAGGGUGAGAAUCCCGUCUUUGACAUGGACUACCAGUGCUUUUGUGGUAUGCUCUCAAAGAGUCGAGUUGUUUGGGAAUGCAGCUCAAAAUGGGUGGUAAAUGCCAUCUAAAGCUAAAUAUUGGCGAGAGACCGAUAGCGAACAAGUACCGUGAGGGAAAGAUGAAAAGAACUUUGGAAAGAGAGUUAAACAGUACGUGAAAUUGCUGAAAGGGAAACGCUUGAAGUCAGUCACAUUGACUUGGAAUCAACUCUGCUUUUGCUGGGUGUAUUUUCUUGUCAAUGGGUCAGCAUCAAUUUUGACCAUUGGAUAAAGUUAUUGGGAAUGUGGCAUCUUUGGAUGUGUUAUAGCCUGAUGAUGCAUACAGUGGUUGGGAUUGAGGAAUUCAGCAUGCCGCAAGGCCGGGUUUUUGACCACGUUCAUGCUUAGGAUGCUGGCAUAAUGGCUUUAAUCGACCCGUCUUGAAACACGGACCAAGGAGUCUAACAUACCUGCGAGUGUUUGGGUGGUAAACCCAUGUGCGUAAUGAAAGUGAAAGUUGAGAACCCUUUGGGGAGCAUCGACGCCCGGACCAGACCUUUUGUGACGGAUCCGCGGUAGAGCAUGUAUGUUGGGACCCGAAAGAUGGUGAACUAUGCCUGAAUAGGGUGAAGCCAGAGGAAACUCUGGUGGAGGCUCGUAGCGAUUCUGACGUGCAAAUCGAUCGUCAAAUUUGGGUAUAGGGGCGAAAGACUAAUCGA